UAGACCCUACGGGGCGCAGCAGUGGGGAAUAUUGCACAAUGGGGGAAACCCUGAUGCAGCAACGCCGCGUGAAGGAAGACGGUUUUCGGAUUGUAAACUUCUUUUCUUAGUGAAGAAGCAAGUGACGGUAGCUAAGGAAUAAGCAUCGGCUAACUACGUGCCAGCAGCCGCGGUAAUACGUAUGGUGCAAGCGUUAUCCGGAUUUACUGGGUGUAAAGGGAGCGUAGGCGGCGCGUUAAGUCUGAUGUGAAAACCCGAGGCUCAACCACGGGAGUGCAUUGGAAACUGGCGGGCUGGAGUGCCGG
RNAcentral lists this ribosomal RNA (305 nucleotides) under uncultured bacterium. RNAcentral describes it as "bacterial SSU rRNA". It matches the Rfam family "Bacterial small subunit ribosomal RNA", at positions 333 to 652 of the family's 1533-position model. The record is from RNAcentral.